This 876-nucleotide small RNA is filed under the name Pongo abelii (Sumatran orangutan). RNAcentral's name for it is "processed transcript". Lineage: Eukaryota; Metazoa; Chordata; Mammalia; Primates; Hominidae. The record is from RNAcentral.
GUCUAGGUUUCUAGAAUAGAAAGUCACUAAUGGUUUACGUUCCUUUCAUGGUUUACUAAUAGUUUACGUUGUUAAAGGGAAGCUGGACGAGAUAACAAAAAUCUUCAGUUUAGAUCUUGGAGGCAUAUCAACUGUGGUUCUAAAUGGCUAUGAUGUAGUAAAGGAAUGCCUUGUUCAUCAAAGUGAAAUUUUUGCAGACAGACCAUGCCUUCCUUUAUUCAUGAAGAUGACAAAAAUGGGAGGCUUACUCAAUUCCAGAUAUGGCCGAGGAUGGGUCGAUCACAGACGAUUAGCUGUAAACAGUUUUCGAUAUUUUGGAUAUGGCCAAAAGUCUUUUGAAUCUAAAAUCUUGGAAGAAACCAAAUUUUUCAUUGAUGCUAUUGAAACUUACAAAGGUAGACCUUUUGACUUUAAACAGUUAAUAACGAAUGCUGUUUCAAACAUAACUAAUCUGAUCAUUUUUGGAGAACGAUUCACUUAUGAAGACACCGAUUUUCAGCACAUGAUUGAGUUAUUUAGUGAAAACGUGGAACUAGCUGCCAGUGCCUCAGUCUUCUUGUAUAAUGCCUUUCCAUGGAUUGGCAUCCUGCCUUUUGGAAAACAUCAACAGCUGUUUAGAAAUGCAGCUGUAGUCUAUGAUUUUCUCUCCAGACUCAUUGAAAAAGCUUCAGUCAACAGAAAGCCUCAGCUACCUCAGCAUUUUGUUGAUGCUUAUUUAGAUGAGAUGGAUCAAGGUAAAAAUGACCCAUCAUCUACUUUCUCCAAAGAAAAUCUAAUUUUCUCAGUGGGUGAACUCAUCAUUGCUGGAACUGAAACUACAACCAAUGUGCUACGGUGGGCAAUUCUUUUCAUGGCCCUUUAUCCUAAUAUUCAAGG